CCCAGGGGACCACCAAGCCCACAGAACCAUCGGCUGCCUCCCAAGGAUGCUUUCCAGAGCUGCUCCAUCUCGGGCUACGGCCACUCCUGGAGAGGCACCAACUCCUGAGGACCACCUGGCUGUGGGAGCACAGCCUUGGGGACAGUAACUGCCUGGUGCCGAGGGCCGGUGCCCAGAGGGAACCUUGAGUUAGAAAUGCCAGGCAGGGAAACAAAACCCCUCUCAAUAAACCACUUCAGUUCAAGAGCA
Carlito syrichta (Philippine tarsier) is the source of this 249-nucleotide long non-coding RNA. RefSeq lists it as uncharacterized. The record is from RefSeq and is a predicted model, not a curated record. NCBI's taxonomy places the organism in Eukaryota, Metazoa, Chordata, Mammalia, Primates, Tarsiidae. The transcript has 2 exons.